GAUGAAGAACGCAGCGAAAUGCGAUAAGUAAUGUGAAUUGCAGAAUUCAGUGAAUCAUCGAAUCUUUGAACGCACCUUGCGCCCUUUGGCCAUUUCGAAGGGCAUGCCUGUUUGAGUAUCAUGAACACCUCAACUCUUUAUGGUUUUCCAUGAUGAGCUUGGACUCUGGGGGUUUUGCUGGCUCACAGUCGGCUCCUCUAAAAUGAAUCAGCUUACCAGUGUUUGGUGGGUAUCAUGGGUGUGAUAACUAUCUACGCUUGUGGUUUUUCCACCAGGUAACCUUCAGCAGUGGAGGUUCGCUGGAGCUCAUAGAUGUCUCUCCUCAGUGAGGACAGCCCUUUGAAUGUUUGAUCUCAAAUCAGGUAGGACUACCCGCUGAACUUAAGCAUAUCAAUAAGCGGAGGA
Molecule: unclassified non-coding RNA, 405 nt
Filed under: soil metagenome
Description: partial contains 5.8S ribosomal RNA, internal transcribed spacer 2, and large subunit ribosomal RNA
Rfam family: 5.8S ribosomal RNA (bases 1-121)
Source: RNAcentral